AAAUGGGCAAUCUACAAAUUGAAUUAUCAGCUCCUAGUUAAGCAGAUGUUGACUUUUAUUAAAACUGCCUAAGCAAGACCUGAAGCACCUCGGAGCUCCGACCCCCAAGUUCUCCUCCACAGCCACGGCCUGCGUUGCACCCCGGCUCACCUUUUCGUCCCACCCACCACCACCCCCCCUCGCCGUUCAGUGCUGUCCUGGGCGCUUGCAACCUGCCGGGUGAUUUAGCAGACUGCCCCCUGCUCCUGCUCUGGUUCCUGCUCCUGCUCCUGCUCCUGCUCCUGCUCCUGCUCCUCCUCCUCCUCCUCCUCCCAGCUCUCGCUCUCGCCUCCUCCUCCAGUCGGGGCGCCCAGACUUCGCGGAGCGCAGCGCCCGCCGCCCGCAGCGCGCAGGACCGCCCAGGCCGCCGCGCUCCAGGCUCCUGCUGGCCGCAGCCCGGGGGCACCGGCGCGGGCAAAGGACGCUCGGGGGCCAGAGCCAGACGCUGCGAGAAGCCGGGCUGUGAUAAGGCUCGGGACAGAAGCGAGCGCGUUCCGAGUGAGACUUCGGGAGCCAGCGGGGCGCCCCGGGUCACCCAGUGCGCCCGCUGCACGCACCGUCCACAAGGACAAGAUACUGAACCCAGUAUGUGACUUUGGUGUUCCAUUUGCAAUUGGUCUGCACCUGGAAAGUCAUGAUUUCUGCACACUCUAUCAUGGUGCCUCUCAAAUCACCUGGAAAUCAGGUUAAACCUUAUGUUCGUGGUCCCACCUCAAAGUUAUUAAUCAUCAUGGUGGGAUGAGGCCAAGAAUUUAAACUUCUCACAAAAAUCCCACGUGAUAGUGAUGCUGCUCAUAAGCAAACAACACUUUGUAUAGUGGGAGAUCUAUGGGAGUGAGCAAGACCACAAAACUAAAUGUUUUUGUUACAGCUAAAGUAACAUAAAAAUAUGUGAAGGAACUUACUCUCAAAGAACUACAGACCUGAUGAGAAACAUGUAAUCUUUAAACAAGGAAACAUGUUGCUGUCAUGUUGCAGAUAUUUUUUUUCUUUUUUUAUUGAAGUUCAAUUUGCCAACAUAUAGAUGUUGCAAGUAUUUUAUUACUACAGUCCUCUUUAUGGGAGAGGCAAACUGCCUUUAUAAAAAUGAGCAAGAAUAUCACAUCAACGAGACAAUGGCCAUCUCAAAGGAUACCAAAAGUUUACAAAAUUCAAUACAGAGUCAUAAUUUUUUAAAAACUGGUAAACCAGUAAACUAAAAAUAGAGAUAAAUUUCUAAGUUAACAAGAAAUAGAAAGGAACUGUUUUUCACACUAAGAACAUCUUUCUCAAACAAUAGCCAACAUCAUGCUUAUUGGUAAAACACUAUACGGAUAAGACAAGGAUGCCUGCUAAUAGCACCACUAUUUAACACUCCUCUGAAUGUUCCAAUCAAUACACUAGAAAGAAGGAAAAGAAAAGAAUUGAUGUAAAUUUAUAAUACUAGUCAUG
RNAcentral lists this long non-coding RNA (1470 nucleotides) under Vulpes vulpes (red fox). RNAcentral describes it as "lncRNA (ENSVVUG00000009762.1)". Lineage: Eukaryota; Metazoa; Chordata; Mammalia; Carnivora; Canidae. The record is from RNAcentral.